This 178-nucleotide non-coding RNA is filed under the name Eubacterium limosum. Lineage: Bacteria; Bacillati; Bacillota; Clostridia; Eubacteriales; Eubacteriaceae. The record is from RNAcentral.
AUCAUAUGAUUAGUUAAAUAUUGAAUGAUCCUAUGUUCAAGGGAAAAAGGUGAAAAUCCUUUGCUGUAAUCGCAGCUGUAAGGUAAAAUGCCCGUUUCAAUCCACUGUCCUGACGGAUGGGAAGGGAAACCGGAUGAUAUUACCAAGCCAGAAGACCUAUAUAGGAGUUUAUUCUUAA